UACGGGGGGAGCAAGCGUUGUUCGGAUUUACUGGGCGUAAAGGGCGCGUAGGCGGCGUGACAAGUCACUUGUGAAAUCUCCGGGCUUAACUCGGAACGGUCAAGUGAUACUGUCGGACUAGAGUACAGAAGGGGGCAACUGGAAUUCUCGGUGUAGCGGUGAAAUGCGUAGAUAUCGGAAAGGAACAUCAGUGGCGAAAGCGGCUUCCUGGACCAGAACUGACGAUCAGGCUCGAAAGCGUGGGGGAGCAAACAGG
This 256-nucleotide ribosomal RNA is filed under the name uncultured bacterium. RNAcentral describes it as "partial 16S ribosomal RNA". It matches the Rfam family "Bacterial small subunit ribosomal RNA", at positions 524 to 776 of the family's 1533-position model. The record is from RNAcentral.